Molecule: ribosomal RNA, 712 nt
Filed under: uncultured Chloroflexota bacterium
Lineage: Bacteria; Bacillati; Chloroflexota
Description: bacterial SSU rRNA
Rfam family: Bacterial small subunit ribosomal RNA
Source: RNAcentral
AGUGGCGGACGGGUGAGUAAGACGUAGGUGACCUGCCUUGGUAUGGGGGAUAACCACUGGAAACGGUGGCUAAUACCGCAUACGCUGGUGGAGUGGGAAUCUCUGUCAGGAAAGAUUGAUUGUACCAAGAGGGGCCUACGGCCGAUUAGCUAGUUGGUGAGGUAAAGGCUCACCAAGGCGAUGAUCGGUAGCUGGUCUGAGAGGACGAUCAGCCACACGGGAACUGAGACACGGUCCCGACUCCUACGGGGGGCAGCAGUGAGGAAUAUUCGGCAAUGGAGGCAACUCUGACCGAGCAACGCCGCGUGGAGGAUGACGGUUUUUGGAUUGUAAACUCCUUUUCUCAGGGAAGAGUGAGGACGGUACCUGAGGAAUAAGUCACGGCUAACUACGUGCCAGCAGCCGCGGUAAUACGUAGGUGGCAAGCGUUAUCCGGAAUUACUGGGCGUAAAGCGCACGCAGGUGGUUUUCUAAGAUUGACGUGAAAACUCUUGGCUUAACUGGGAGACGUCGUUGAUGACUGGGAGACUUGAGGCGAGGAGAGGGGUGUAGAAUUCCCGGUGUAGUGGUGGAAUGCGUAGAUAUCGGGGGGAAUACCAGUGGCGAAAGCGGCACCCUGGCCUUGGCCUGACGCUCAGGUGCGAAAGCGUGGGGAGCGAACGGGAUUAGAUACCCCGGUAGUCCACGCCAUAAACGAUGAACACUAGGUGUA